GUAAGCAGAUAGCACGUCUCUCCUAAGGGACGUAGCAUUUAUGCUCCUUCACUUUCUCCAGGGAAGUGCCAAUGGGUCUCAGCCUUAGAGUGAAAAGUGGGGAAACUUGAGGUAUAAAGAGAGGAGGCACACUUGUCACACAAUGCCACCUGCAAAAUGGAGCAGGGGCUCCCGACUGCCUGCUGAGAUGUCCUGGGAGACACUGCCUGCCUUGGUGGGAAGGCCCCAGUCGGGACAGAGGGUUCACCCCUGGCUUUCCAGUGUCCACGCACUCCCAACCACAGCCAACAGAGGGCGCUGCCCAGCCGUGUGGGAUCUUUGGGUCUGAGCUGGACAGCUCUUCCUCCAAUCCUUAAGGACGUUUUUUGGGGCUAGGGCCAGAACCCAGGCUUG
Molecule: long non-coding RNA, 393 nt
Filed under: Homo sapiens (human)
Lineage: Eukaryota; Metazoa; Chordata; Mammalia; Primates; Hominidae
Description: HSALNT0224422
Source: RNAcentral